GCUGUGGUGCCGCCGCCGGGAAGGGCGGGGCGCGUGCGGCUGCGUGGAGUGUGAGCGAGAGGGCGGGAAGCCGUGGGGGCAGAAGAGCGAUGUAGUGAGGGGGUCGCCACGCCCCCGUCGGCUCCGUAGAGCGCCGGGCGUCGGCGGUGCUUCCGGCGGAGGUCCCGGCGAGGAGCGGAGAGCGCGGGUUCGGCGUGCUUGGUUCCUGACAUCCGAAACGUGCCUCCGGUCUCUGUGCUCUGUUACGGAAGCUGCGUUUCGCAAAUGGAAACGAACGCAGUUCUCUGAGUUGCGCGUUCGGUUUCCGAGCUCCUCUCGGCGUCGCGUUGAAGCACUCGUUUGCGCUGAGCGCGUAUCUCCAGUGAAGCAACAAAAUGCCGAUUGGCACAGGAGACAGCUUGCUUAGCCCGCUUUUUCCCCGAGAAUUUGCUUACGUCGGGAGGACGGCUCGCUGCGGUUCGUGCAACGAGGCGAGGUUCCAUAGGACUGCUGAGGACUUGUGGCUCUAAUUGUGUCACUGAGGAUCCAAAGCAGAAAUGUUGUGUUCUUACGUAGAGAAAACAAGAUAGGAAUGUCUGCUACGCAACCAAGUGAUGCGGCACUUUGCAGCGUGGCAAAUACACAGAUGUAUUGCUUGAAGGAGAGAUGCCAGUGAUUUACCUCCAUCCGUUUUGCAUACAGAAAUAGAAAGUUAGCAGUGGCUGCCAUACAUACCAAGUAGAGGAUGACAUUUUAUUCAUUACCUUCUACACUUCCUUUUAUGCAGAGACAAGCAGGACAGUAACUGAGUAAUCGCGCUGCAGAGUAGACUUUAAAUGUUAGCAGUCGUUGUGCAAUGUGCCCUCUGGCCAGCAUGUGGGGAUAUGUCCACGUGCUUGAAGAUAACAGUAAUAUUCCCUGUGCAAUUUUUACAUAGGAAAGUAUUUUUAUUUAACUGGCCUUACAAAUCAGAAACAUGUGAAGCAUGAAACAGCGUAGAAUGUUAUCCAACAAAUCUCACCUCCUUUGUGUAACAGACAUAGCUAUUUUAUUUAAAAGAAUUACUUUAGUUUUAUAUUGCUGCAAAAUAAGUAAAUAAAGUGUGCCUUGAA
Centrocercus urophasianus (Greater sage-grouse) is the source of this 1091-nucleotide long non-coding RNA. RefSeq lists it as uncharacterized. The record is from RefSeq and is a predicted model, not a curated record. The transcript has 2 exons. NCBI's taxonomy places the organism in Eukaryota, Metazoa, Chordata, Aves, Galliformes, Phasianidae.